CUGGAAUUUGGAAGAUUUUUCUGGUGGUUGUGUGAGGAAAACCCCGCUGCAGUGUGAAAAUAAUAGCCUUGCCAAUGGAAAAAGCGACCAAUUUUUCCAGUACAUUAACAUGAAUUUGCCUAAACAUCCACAAUCUGUGACAGUAGGGGGUAUCAGGGAAUGUGAAACACACUGCUUGAAUAACUGCUCUUGCACUGCUUAUGCUUACAAAGACAACGCUUGCUCGAUUUGGGUAGGAAGUUUCGUGGGUCUGCAACAGCUACAAGGAGGUGGAGAUACCAUUUACAUCAAGCUUGCAGCUUCUGAGUUCGAGAGUCCCAAGAACAACAAGGGAGUAGUCAUUGGCGGUGUUGUGGGCUCAGUGGCUGUCGUAGCUCUUAUUGGCCUGAUCAUGCUUGUCUACUUGAGAAGGAGAAAGACAGCAACUGUAACAACCAAAACUGUGGAGGGUUCUUUGGUGGCAUUUGCAUACAAGGAUUUGCAAACUGCCACAAAGAAUUUCUCUGAAAAGCUGGGGGGAGGAGGUUUUGGUUCAGUUUUCAAAGGGGUGUUGCCGAAUUCAAGUCUCAUAGCUGUGAAGAAGCUUGAAAGCUGGAGCCAAGGAGAGAAGCAAUUUCGCACUGAAGUCAGUACCAUAGGGAAUAUCCAACAUGUCAAUCUGGUUCGGCUUCUGGGUUUCUGCUCUGAAGGUACUAGUAGGUUGUUGGUCUACGAUUUCAUGCCAAACGGUUCUUUAGACUCUCAUCUCUUCACUGAAAAAGAUUCAGACUUUCUUGAUUGGAAAACAAGAUACCAAAUUGCACUGGGGACAGCCAGAGGUUUGGCUUAUCUUCAUGAGAAGUGCAGAGACUGCAUCAUACACUGUGACAUAAAGCCAGAGAACAUUCUGUUAGACGCUGAAUUUUGUCCCAAAGUGUCGGAUUUUGGGCUGGCAAAGCUUGUUGGGAGGGAGUUCAGCCGUGUCCUAACAACCAUGAGAGGAACAAGAGGUUACCUUGCACCUGAAUGGAUUUCAGGAGUGGCCAUAACAGCCAAAGCGGAUGUCUACAGCUAUGGAAUGAUGCUGUUUGAAUUUGUAUCAGGAAGGAGGAACUCCCACGAAUCUGAAGAUGGUAAAGUGAAGUUCUUCCCAUCUUGGGCUGCUAAACAAAUAGUUGAAGGCAGCAAUCUCAUUAGCCUAUUAGACCCAAGACUGGAGGGCAACGCUGACGAAGAAGAGCUUGCAAGACUUUGCAAUGUGGCUUGUUGGUGCAUCCAAGAUGAUGAGACUCACAGGCCAUCAAUGGGUCAAGUAGUUCAAAUUCUUGAGGGAGUUUUGGACGUGACACUGCCUCCAAUUCCCAGAGCUCUCCAAGUAAUGGUCGAUGACCAUGAGCACGUAGUCUUCUUCACUGAAUCAUCCUCAUCUCAGAGUUCCCUGUCAAAGAGCAACAAUUCAACUGCUUCAGCUCAAGCAAAGAGCACCACAUUAUCAAGAAGUUCUUAAAUCGAUGUGAAGAAAAUAUUUUAACAUUUGUGUUUAAGAAUAUAUAUUUGGAUUAUUUCACUUGUAACAACCUGUAUGCAUAUUUGGAUAGAAGCCUUGCUUCGUAGUGUAUAAUAAUAAUGCCCCCUGCCAAAGCAAUUUUAAGAAUCACAAGCCUUGUGCCUCGCUGUUUUCUCUAAUGAACUCUGAUUGAUCUAUGCUCCUCUGCAUUGACUAUUGGCCUCACCUAAUCGCUUCAACUGGCAAAAUUAGGUAUUGAAAUGAAAGCGACUUGGAACAAAUAACAUAAACAAAUAACAUGGGUCAAACAGCAAAAACAAUCAAACAAACAAACAUAAACGUGACGUUGUAACAAAUAACAUGGGUCAAGAUAUAAAUCAACUGACCAACAUUGUUGAAUUGUCGAUAUUUUUAUUGACUUCAAUUGACUAACAACUUUCCUUCUUUUCUUGAAGGAUGGCUUUGGCGGCGUUUCUUGAAGGAUGGCUUGGACCUCUCGUUGAUUCGCGUCCUCGAUAUUGGUUCGUGGCUUUCGAUCUUCCUGAUCUCGCCGUCUUCCGAAGAGAAGACGUUUGUCGAAGUUAUCGCAAUCGACGCUCACCAUUGUCCUGGUAAGUCACGGUUAAGCUAACAGUAACGAUAACGGCAUUGAUAAUUGUUUGGACGGGAUAUUAUCAUUUUCCCACCGACGGUAUUCUGACACAUCAUGUCAGUACUAUGGUUUAGUAAAACUAUUAAUUUAUCACCAAAUAUUAAAACUGUUAGCAUUUUCUCACCAUUCCGUUAAAACUCAGUUAAUAUGUAAUGAAAAAUUUUUAAAAGGUCAAUUUUACCCCUGGAGCAUAAAAGACCAUGUAAUUAACCUUUUAUGAAUUUUGUAAUUAAAUCAUCAUUUAUUGUUCUUCCUUCUUAAAGGACAAAAAUUACCCUUUAUGAAUUUUGUAAAAUUGACCGUGUGGUGUUAGGUAAUUCAUAAAUUGAUUUAAUUUAUUUAAUUUUUAAAGGGCAAAUUUAUUUAUUUAAUUUUUUGUGUAAAAUUAUUAUCAUCAUAUCAAAGAUUAAAUUGCUUCUUUUGCACUUUUUUUUUCAAAUUUAUUUAUUUAAUUUUUUGUGUAAAAUUAUUAUCAUCAUAUCAAAGAUUAAAUUAAAUUGCUUCUUUUGCACUUUUUUUUUUUUUGCCCUUUCAUAAAUUGAGUUUUAGUAGUAUAAUAAAUUGUCUUUAGCUCGUCAAUUUAAUAAAUAAAUUUGCCCUUUAAAAAUUAAAUCAAUUUAUGAAGUACCUAGCACCACACGGUCAAUUUUACAAAAUUUAUAAAGGGUAAUUUUUGUCCUUUAAGAAGGAAGAACAACAAAUGAUGAUUUAAUUACAAAAUUCAUAAAAGGUUAAUUACAUAGUCUUUUACGCUCCAGGGGUAAAAUUGACAUUUUAUGAAUUUUCUGUUACAUAUUAAUUGAGUUUUAACGGAAUGGUGGGAAAAUGCUAACAGUUUAAACGUUUGGUGGUAAAUUGAUAGUUUUACCAAACCAUGGUACUGACAUGAUGUGUCAGAAUACCUUUAGUGGGAAAAUGAUAAUAUCCCUUGUUUGGACACUAAUAGUUUAUUUUAUUACUUGUUUUAAUUCAUUUCUUCUUAGCAUUAGUUUUUUUUAUUUCAAUUAUAAAUUAAUGUUAAAUUAUAGUUAAGACUGUCUUAAACUACUAUAAAUAAAUAGUUUUAAUUAUAUUUUUGAGGGAGUAAUAAUAUAAUUAAUUCUAUUUUAUGUUAAUUCUUCUCUCUUCCAUUUAAAUUCUUAAAUUCUUUAUUUAUUUCUCUCUUAAUUCUCUAAUCAAACCCUUAAAAUUCUACCAUCUGGUAUUAGAGCACAUCCUUCCUGCCACAAUUUUUAUUUUUCCAUUCACUUUUGCCAAUAUCUCUUGGCUUUCGACUGGAGAUUUAAACCGGACCCACCCUCUAAACUUUUUCCAACAUCUAAACUUUUUUAACCGAACCUGAAUUUUCUUGAGAGUUUUUUUGAGGCAUCAUGAUUUUUAAGGAGCUUGAAGGCAAAGUUCAACAGUUGUCUCAACAGUUUCAUGACAAAGUUACAACCAUCGAUGAAAAGGUUACGACCUUCGGCAAGCAAAAUAACGAUCUGCAGAAACUCAUGAAACAUCUUUCAGCAAUUGAGCCAGUUGCGAAAAGGAAAACAACCAACUACUGAUCAAAGACAAGUUGAUAUAUUUACUGGAGGGACCUUUGCUCCUCAAAUGGUAAUUGCUGCCCAACCACCUAUUGAACCUGGCGAACGCAUUGGAAGUACUCUCAUGCAAGCUUGUAACAUAUGACUUGACUUUCCUAUUUUUCAUGGUGACAAUCCAACGGGAUGGAUUUUUCGAUAUGAGCAAUGUCGUCGCCUUACUGGAUUAUCAGAUGUUGACUUAUUGUCCUUAGCUAUUGGCCAUCUUGAUGGUGAUACUGUACCUUGCAACUAGGGAUGGCAAAAUAACCCGGACCCGGACGAACCCGGAUAAUUCGGGCCGGGUUGAACCCGUAUCGGAGAGUAAAAAAAGCCGGAUCCGAAAUGGGUUUUAAUAACCCGGAUGAAUCCGGGUCCGGGUUUGGGGUAACCCGUGUAUCCGGAACUCGAACCCGGAUUCAUUUUUUAUAUUAUUUUUAAUUAUAUUUAUUAGUAAAUAUAAAUACAAAUAUUAAAAAAAAACCUAAUUCUAUUUCACAAGUCAAAGGCGUCAAACACACAAAUCGCGAUUUACACAAACAAGACAAACCCUAGCUGUGCCGCCGCUGCCGCCUUCCGCCUUCCGCUGUCCCGCAAGCAAGUCAAACAACUCUCGGCUAGGUUCGCCACCGUCGCAAGGUCGGUUCGCUGUCGUCGCAAGGUUGGGUUCGCGGUUCGUCGCAGCUUGUUUGGUUCACCAGAAUCACCACCGUCGCAUGCUUGCAGCAGUGCAGUUCCUCAAUUCGUUUGAUUCACCGGCGUGAGUAGCUGUUAUACUCUGUUUUAUGUGAUUUGUGCUAUGUGAUUUGUGAUAUUGAUUUGUGUUGUGUUAUACUGUUGUGAACACCACUGAUUUAUGUGAUUUGUGCUAUGUGAUUUGUGAUAUUGAUUUGUGUUGUGUUAUACACUUAUAUUGCCGUGAACACCACUAAUUUAUGCUUGAAAUGUUGUUGAUUGUUGGUGUUAAUAGAUUCGAAAUUGUAUAUUUCAAAUGUUAGAAAGCUGUUACAGUUAAAAAUAAAUUGUUGUUGUUAAUGGAUUUGUUGCUGUUAAUAGAUUCAAAAUUGUAUAAUUCAAAUGUUAGAAAGCUGUUACAGUUAAAAAUAAAUUGUUGUUGUUAAUGGAUUUGUUGCUGUUAAUAGAUUCGAAAAUGUAUUUUUGAAAUGUUAGAACUUAGAACAUUGUUACAGACUUACAGUAAAAAAAAUAAAUAUAAAAUGGAAGAAAUUGGAGGAAUGAUUGGUUAGUUUAAUUUGUUUUGACAUAAUUCUUGUAGGGUGUUAAAUUCAUAAUGGAAAAUGAACAAAGGUAUGGAAAAUUUAUUUAUUACAUAAAAUAAAUUAAUUUGUUAUAGUAUCAAUUUAUUACUAACUAACUGUUUUGUUCUUAUUUUUAUGAUUUAUUCAUGUUUUUUAGAUGGAAUUCCAGAGGAAGCAAUACUUUCUGCAGAACAGCUUAUUGAUGAAAGUUUGAUGAGUGAGUUGUGAACAACGAUGAGUCAAGUGAAGAAGAAUAGAAAAUGAUGGAGAAAAGUUUAAACUUUGGAUUUGUGGUUUUUAAUUUGAACUUUGAAUUGUAGACUUGUGUAAUUGUGUUAUGGAUUUAUAUUUGUGGCUGUUUUAUUACUUGAAACAGCCGUUUGAAUUGUAGAGUUUGCAAACUAGCUGUUUGAAUUGUAGAGUUUGCAGAGAGUUGAUUAAUUGUGAUUUGUGAGCACUGGACUAUUAUGCCAUAAUUGUGAUUUGUUGUUUAAGUCUUAAUUAUUAAGUGCUGGGAUGGCCUUUGAAACAUUGAGAAUUUGAGAUAUUGUGAUUUCUGAAGAGUGAUUGCUUCUGUCAAUGUUUAGGAGUUAGUUUAAAGCUUGUUGGUCAUCGUGCAAAGUAUGGAUUGUAUGGUUAUCUUGAUGAUGUUGGUGGUAGACAAUUAUAUAGGUUUAGAAACUUCAUGUGGUAGAGAAAAGCUUGGGGACAUUCUCCAAUCCUCUAAGCUAUGUUGCAGGGGCUGUUUGUCCAGUUUUGACCUCAUCUUUUUGUUUUUGUUAAUAUUUCCUUUAGUUACAUUAGUUGUGUUUUGGUUCUAUCACUAACAAUGAAAGUGAAAUUUGAAAUUUCAUUAUUGAUCCGGGUUCAAAACCCGGAAUCUGAGAACUCGGAUUUUUCCGGGUUGAACCCGGACCCGGAUGGAAAAAAUCGGGUUUUAAUCUGGGUCCGGGAGAAAGAAAAUGACAUCCGGGUCCGGAACCGAGAAGGCUAAACCCGGACCCGGAUUUUGCCAUCCCUAACCUUGGUUUAAUUGGAUAGAGCAAAUUAUGGGCGAAAUGACUUGGGCGCAAUUUAAACGGGCUUUGACUACUCGAUUUGGGACAUUAAAAGCGAAUAAUGCAGUUGGCAGUCUUACCAAACUACGUCAAAUACGGACCGUUCUUGACUAUCAACGACAAUUUGAAAAGUUGGCUGAUCAGACUAGCAAUUUAACUGAGUCUUUCUUUAUUAGUUGUUUCCUCUAUGGGUUGCGUGAAGAUAUCAAGGCUGGCGUACAACUGUUCAAACCUGUUAGUCUCGUACAAAUUUUUGAACUUACUAGGUUUAGUAAAAGACAAUUACUUUGCAAGGCAAUCGUUUCCAUAUUCCUGCCAUCCAAGAUCUAGUCCCACAAUUACAAUCGACUCCUAUUCCACCAGCACCCUCUUUAUUAGGACCAAUUUCCUCUACCUUACCUAAUAAUGUCAAACGUUUAUCUUCAGCUGAGCAGACAGAAAGACGUUUUGAAGGGCUUUGUUUCAACUCUGACGAGUAAUUCAAGCCUAAACAUCGUUGCAAACAAUCUCAACUAUUGCUUUUAGACGCUGAUAUACUUCUUCACAACCCUCCAAAACCGCUUGACCAUCAUUCGGAUUGGAAGAUCUCGGUUAUUGUGACUGGGUAAAAGGCUUGCAGACAAGCCUGUUUUAAGAGGCAGGGAAUGUUAGGACCCUAAUAAUUUAUUUUAUUGCUUGUUUUAAUUUCUUUCCUAUUAGUAUUAGGUUUUCUUAUUUCAAUUAUGAAUUAAUGUUCUUAUUAAAUUAAAAUUAGGACCGUCUUGAACUACUAUAAAUAAUUGGUUCUUAUUAUAUUAUUGAGUGAGCAAUAAUAAAAUUAAUUCUAAUCUCAAUUAAUUCUUCUCUCUUCCCUCUGAAUUCUUAAACUUUUCAUCUAUUUCUCUCUUAAUUCUCUAAUCAAAACCUCAGAAUGUUGGAGAAGACGAUUUACACACAUACAAGAUAAUAAAGGCAUUUAAAUCACCUAAUUAAGUUGUAUAGGGAUAAAUAAUUAAAUUACAAAAAGCUCGACAUAUACUGAAAAAUAAAAAAGAAAUUGAACAAAGUCAUAAAUUUAUUGACAUCUACAUUCUGAAAAUUAGUGUGUGUCUUCAGUAGGGAAAGUUAUCAUUUGCAUACGGUUAUUUUUAUUGAUAUUUUUUUUUAUAUUAAUCACGAGGUAUCCUGGGGAGGGCCCCAACUGUGGGAGACACCUUUAAGCCCGUACCACAACCCAGACUAGAAGUCCCCGCUCGAACCGGGAGGCAUAGUUCUCCCAACAAAGGUUUUUUUUUAUUGAUAUUAAAUACCUCUAUUUUAUGUUCAAUUGGAAGGAAUUCUAGGCUGUUCAGUUUUCUACUUACGGAACUAUCACGAUCGUUGUUAUUGAGAAAAUUGUGGCAAUUUUUUUGAUUGAUCAUGAUGAUUUUCUUACGUGGCAGGCUCGGUGAUGCUGUUAUUUCGCGGAGCAUUUCGAUGCCUGCUCUAUACUGGUAAUUUUCGCUGGGAAGCAAGUAAUGAGAGGGCCGAGAUAGGAAGGAACACGCUCGUCAAAGCUUUAAAAGAUGAUGUAGUAUAACACAUUGCAAUCCAUCAUAUGCUUUUCCUUCACAACUAGUUGCAGCUCAACAGGUACACUUUUUAAAUUUCUCAUCUACGUUAUCUUUACUUUUUUUUUGUUAAUUUAAAACCCCCAGGAUGGUGGGGGGCUUAGGCAGGAUCCCUACUUAUAAUAUAAAUCCGAAAAUGGUACAAGUACAAAGGAGGGGGACAACGACUAAUAUCUCCUAGAAAAAUUGAAAGGAAAAGAUAAAAGAACUAAAAGAAGACAAAUGGACGACAGAAACGCAGCGCCCACUGCCGUUUCACGAGUUUCCUUUGUCUUCUUUUAGUUCCGCGUGGGACCAUAAUAAAUAAUAAAAUAAAGAAUCCUAACAUAUAUAAAACACAUUUAGAAAUUGUCAUAAUUUAUUCCAUUAUUUCCAGCCAUUUAAAUUAAGAAAAAUCCUAACAUAUAUAAAACACAUUCAAAAAUUGUUAUAAUUUAUUCCAUUAUUUCCAGCCAUUUAAAUUAAAAAAAAUCCUAACAUAUAUAAAACACAUUCAGAAAUCGUUAUAAUUUAUUCCAUUAUUUCCACCCAUUUAAAUUAAAAAAAUCAUAACAAUUUAAAUAUAUAAAAAAACAAAAAUCUACGAAUUUUUACAAUUUAAAUUAAAUAUUCUAACCAUUUAAAUAUAUAGAGCACAACAAAAAUUUUAUUUGAAUGUAAUGAGAGUCACCAACUUACCAAUUAAUCAGUACCAAUUUUAUCAAGUUGCCUCUGUUUGCAGAUCCAGAUAUAACUUCUUCCUUGUGAUAAGCGAGAUGCAAAGAGGGAACCGAUUUUUCCUUGUUAAAUGUAGAUGACUCACGUUAAAUGAGAGGUGAGAGAUGGAGAGAGAGAAGACAACAAGAAAAAUCGGAACUAAAAAAGUGCUGCUAUUGUCAUCUCUUUUCGUUACUUUUGUGGUUUUUUUUAUUAUUUUAAUAUUUUUUUAUUAUUUUAUUUUUUAAAUAAAAAAAUAACUGACAAAGGAUGAUGAAUGGAGUUGAAGCAACAGACAAAGAGACCCACGUUUUUGUCGUUCCUUUAUCGUCAAAGAGUUCAAAUAGCAGAACUCAAAUUGAAAAACAAGUAUAACAUAGGCGAAAAGGAAUAAAAGAAAAGUCAAGCUAGCGCCUGAUAUGCGGAACUGCAUACGCGUCUAGAUGGAGAAUUAGGGAUGGCAAACAGCGGGCCUGGGCCAGGCUUUUUCAAGCCCAUGUCUAGGCCCUUUGUUAGCUAAGUGUACGGGCUUGGGUCGGGCCAGCCCCAUGGCGGGCCUGGGCUGGGCUUGAGCUUUAUUUAUUUAUUUUAAAUUUGUUAAAUUAUUGUAAAUUUGAAAUAAAUUAAUGAUCAAUAAGUUAUUACAAUCAUAGAUAAAUUAAAGAAAAUGAAUAUUUCAAAUUAAAAUAAUAAAUAAAGCAAAUAAAAACUCAUAACUUUAAUUUUCUUUAAUACUGAUUUUUUAAUUCAAACGCUCUUUUAAUUAAUUGACACAAAAGAAAAAAUUUAGUAUCAUUAUUUUGGUUUUGGGUAAAAGCUCGUUUAGUCCCUAUAUUUUGAGUUUAGUGUUCGUUUAGUCCCUAUAUUUUUAAAAAUACCUUAAAGCAUCCCUAUCAUUAAAUUAUUGACAUCCUUGCCAUUACCUUUUGUUCAUUUUAACUUAUUUUUACAAUAUUAUCCUAUUACAAUAAUGUUCCUUUUUUUAAACAUUAUUAAAAAGAAAAUUUAAAUUACCAGUUUAACACCAAAAAAUAAAAUAAAAACAAUAUAUAUAUUAAUUUUUGUGGAACACUCUGCUGAGAAGUUAAAAUAUUAAUUUUUUUUAAAAUUGAUAAUUUAAUUUUUUACAAAAUUAAUUUUUUUUGGACACACAUGAGCUUCCAGAAAAAUUAAUAUAUAUCUUUUUUGUUUUUUAUUUUAUUUUUGGGUUUAAUUUGAUAAUCCGAUUUUUUUUAUUAAUAUCUAAAAAAGAAAUAUUACUGUAAGAGUGUAAAAUUGUAAAAUCAUGCUAAAAAAAUAAAAAAUAAUGGCAUAAGUGUCAAUAUUUAAUAGUAAGGACGUUUUGAGGUAUUCUUAAAAAUAUAGGGAUUAAAUGGGCACUAAGCUCAUAAUAUAGGGACUAAACAAGCUUUUACCCUUUAGUUUUUUUAAUCAUAAUUGAUUUAUAAGUUAAGAAUUUAAAUUUUUUAAACUUUUAAAUUACUUUUUAAUUUUAAUUAUAUUAUUUUAAUUUAUAAAAUUAUUUUUUUAAAAAAUAAUGGACUUAAACUUUAUCCGGGCUUUUCUUGAGCCCUUACCCAGUUCUUCAUGGGUGAGGGAGGGCCUGGGCUAGACCCGAACGGACUUGGGCCGGCCCAGAUUUUUUUACCAUCCCUACGGAGAAUGCUGUGAAAACCAGCAGGAUUGUCCCUGGGGCUCAUAAACCGACAAUGCACCUUAUGAGUACAAACCCAAUUGGCUGGAAAAUCAGUAGCAGAAGUAGCCUCCCAAAAUACACGACGGACCAAGAUAUUAGUUGAAGAAGCCAUACUACGGACACGUCGCAAAAGGUAUAUGUAAUCCCACGACACCUGGCAAUCGGACCGAAUCCAUGCGCCUAUGGUAGCAGAGUCCGAUUCUACCUGCAAUAUAGAAUGGCCGAGGUGAGCUGCAAGCUCUAAGCUCUCAUGAACAGCCAUAAGCUCUAUGUAAAGGAUCGGACGAUAACCUAGGAAUGAUCCAAAAGUGCCUAAGAGCUCUCCCCAAGAGUCACGUAAAAUGCCCCCUGAAGCAGCCAUCCCUGGGUUUCCCCUAGAGCAUCCAUCCACUGUCAACUUCACCACCCCCGGAGGUGGUCGAAUCCAAGAAAUCAGCCGAAGUGGUCUCCUAUGCCGUGUAACAACACGCCAUCCCUCCACUAAUCUACUAUCCAGGACGCCGCGCAGUUGGGAUGUUUUAAAACCGAAAGCAAAGCUGGCCAGCUUAAGAUCUGAAACUACUCGAAAAAUGACCGCAUCUACUGAAAAUGCCACUGAAUCAAAUCUGUAAGCAUUUCGGGCCUUCCACACGUGCCAGAGGAUGAAACAAGGAAGGAGAACUCGAAUAUGGUUCCGGGAAGGAGCACAUCGCCUCCAGUGGCGAAGCAGCGCAUGAGGGGAGCGUUAUCUUUACUUGAUUUGCAAUGAGGUAAAGAAGUCAAUUGGGUAAUUUUUUUCUGUGAGAGUGAAUUGCGGCAAACGUGAGCAAAUUUUGCAUCAUUGUGCAUUUUGUUGUAGAAUGAGGAGAGCCAAUUUUCCUGACUAUCUAGACGAGUCUUUAGUUGAAUCUCUCCAUGGCCAUAAGUGGCCGGCAUAGACCAAAUCCUGAAACUGGUCAUGGUCCAAUAUGCAGACCACUCUGACUAUGGUCAAGACACUGGAAAAUGGUGAACGUUGACUAAGUUUUGAAAGUUAUCAAAAUUUAAUAAUAUCAUGUUUCUGAUUUCUAAUCAUGUUUUUUUAUUUCGAAGAUUUCAGUUUUGACAAUUUGACUAAAUAAAUAUGCGGGUUAAAAUUUUCAUGAUCUAAAAAAAUGUAACGAGAACUAAUAAAAUUUAUUAUUUUAUUACGGUUUAUAUCAUUUGAAAUGUUUAUUCAAUAUAAACGAUAUGUCCGGCCUUGUGGUGGCUGGUGGGUGCAAUUUGAGAUGGUAAAAUUUUUUUAUUUUGAAGACAAGAUGUGAAUCCCAUUUAGUAUUAUUAUUAAAUUAAGAAGUAUAAAGAAGUCAAGCAACCAAGAAACCAUAAAGAAGUCAAACAGGCUAGAAGCCGUAAAGAAGUCUAGAAACCAUAAAGAAACCAAAUAUCAUAAACUAAAGAAAAGAUAAAAUAGAGAGUAAUAACAGCAGCAAAAAAAACAGAGAACAGUAGCUUAUUUGUUUGCCACAACAGAUCUAAUACUUGUCCGUUUGUAAUCAUAUGUUUGCUGUUGUUCUCUGUUUAUUGCAGCUGCUAUUACUCUCAUUUUAGCUUUUCCUUAGCUUAUGAUCUUCGGUUUCUAUAUGGCUUCUUGGCUGCUUAACUUCUUAACGUCUCCUACGUGUUUGACUUCUUUAUGGUUUACCCCAAAAUGACCGAAGUGUUCCACAUUUAUGUAUUUUAAAGAGGAUCGUUCUUCUUCUCUAUGUCUGUCUGUCUGGCUGUUGUCUUUCUCUUAUGAGCAAUAAAACAGUACAUGAUAUGUAAAUUAUUUUUCACUCAAGUAUCUAUCUUGACAGCACAGAAUUUGUUGUUGUUGCAACAGCCAUGGAAAUCAUCAAGAACAAUUCAUGGUUGAUGCUUUUUGUUCUUUUUAUGUGCUUUUCACUCAAAUCCCAUGUCUCCUUCGGAGCUGACACCGUUUCUGCAAACCAAUCUCUCUCUGGCGAUCAAACGAUCGUUUCUAAAGGUGGGGUCUUUGCAUUUGGUUUCUUCAACCCAGCUCCUGGUAAGUCUUCAAACUAUUACAUAGGCAUGUGGUACAAUAAAGUCUCUGAAAGAACUAUAGUUUGGGUAGCCAACAGAGAACAGCCAGUCUCUGAUAGAUUCUCUUCGGUUUUAAGAAUCUCAGAUGGUAACUUAGUUCUUUUUAAUGAGUCCCAACUACCCAUUUGGUCCACAAAUUUGACCGCUACCAGCAGACAUUCUGUGGAAGCAGUUCUUUUAGAUGAAGGAAAUCUUGUUUUGAGAGAUUUGUCAAAUAAUUUGUCAGAGCCGUUAUGGCAAAGUUUUGAUCAUCCAGCUCAUACUUGGAUUCCUGGUAUGAAGCUGACGUUCAACAAGAGAAACAACGUCAGUCAACUUAUCACUUCAUGGAAGAACAAAGAAAAUCCUGCACCGGGUCUCUUCUCCCUUGAGCGAGCACCAGAUGGAUCAAAUCAAUAUGUUAUGUUGUGGAAUAGGUCUGAGCAGUACUGGUCAAGUGGACCUUGGGAUGAGAAUGCAAAAAUUUUCAGCAUGAUCCCUGAAAUGAAUCAAAACUAUAUCUACAAUUUCAGCUAUGUGUCGAAUGAAAACGAGAGCUAUUUCACCUACAAUGUGAAAGAUAGCACUUACACAUCUCGAGCGUUUAUGGAUGUUUCAGGACAGGUUAAGCAGAUGAAUUGGUUGCCUACCAACUCUUGGUUUCUGUUUUGGUCCCAACCAAGACAGCAAUGCGAGGUUUAUGCUCUUUGUGGUCAAUUUAGCACCUGCAAUGAGCAAACUGAGCGUUUUUGUUCUUGUUUGAAAGGUUUUCAACAAAAAUCGGUGAGUGACUGGAAUUUGGAAGAUUAUUCUGGUGGUUGUGUGAGGAAAACCCCGCUGCAGUGUGAAAAUAAUAGUCCUGCCAAUGGAAAAAGCGACCAAUUUUUCCAGUACAGUAACAUGAAAUUGCCUAAACAUCCACAAUCUGUGGCAGUAGGGGGUAUCAGGGAAUGUGAAACACACUGCAUGAAUAACUGCUCUUGCACUGCUUAUGCUUACAAUGACAAUGUUUGCUCGAUUUGGGUAGGAAGUUUUGUGGGUCUGCAACAGCUGCAAGGAGGUGGAGAUACCAUUUAUAUCAAGCUUGCAGCUUCUGAGUUCGAGAGUCCCAAGAACAACAAGGGAGUAGUCAUUGGCGGUGUUGUGGGCUCAGUGGCUGUCGUAGCUCUUAUUGGCCUGAUCAUGUUUGUAUACUUGAGAAGGAGAAAGACAGCAACUGUAGCAACCGAAACUGUGGAGGGUUCUUUGGUGGCAUUUGCAUACAAGGAUUUGCAAACUGCCACAAAGAAUUUCUCUAAAAAGCUGGGGGGAGGAGGUUUUGGUUCAGUUUUCAAAGGGGUGUUUCCGAAUUCAAGUCUCAUAGCUGUGAAGAAGCUUGAAAGCUUGAGCCAAGGAGAGAAGCAAUUUCGGACUGAAGUCAGAACCAUAGGGAAUAUCCAACAUGUCAAUCUGGUUCGGCUUCUGGGUUUCUGCUCUGAAGGUACUAGUAGGUUGUUGGUCUACGAUUUCAUGCCAAACGGUUCUUUAGACUCUCAUCUCUUCACUGAAAAAGAUUCAGCCUUUCUUGAUUGGAAGACAAGAUAUCAAAUUGCAAUGGGGACAGCCAGAGGUUUGGCUUAUCUCCAUGAGAAGUGCAGAGACUGCAUCAUACACUGUGACAUAAAGCCAGAGAACAUUCUGUUAGAUGCUGAAUUUUGUCCCAAAGUAUCGGAUUUUGGGCUGGCAAAGCUUGUUGGGAGGGAGUUCAGCCGUGUCCUAACAACCAUGAGAGGAACAAGAGGUUACCUUGCACCUGAAUGGAUUUCAGGAGUGGCCAUAACAGCCAAAGCGGAUGUCUACAGCUAUGGAAUGAUGCUGUUUGAAUUUGUAUCAGGAAGGAGGAACUCCCACGAAUCUGAAGAUGGUAAAGUGAAGUUCUUCCCAUCUUGGGCUGCUAAACAAAUAGUUGAAGGCAGCAAUCUCAUUAGCCUAUUAGACCCAAGACUGGAGGGCAACGCUGACGAAGAAGAGCUUGCAAGACUUUGCAAUGUGGCUUGUUGGUGCAUCCAAGAUGAUGAGACUCACAGGCCAUCAAUGGGUCAAGUAGUUCAAAUUCUUGAGGGAGUUUUGGACGUGACACUGCCUCCAAUUCCCAGAGCUCUCCAAGUAAUGGUCGAUGACCAUGAGCACGUAGUCUUCUUCACUGAAUCAUCCUCAUCUCAGAGUUCCCUGUCAAAGAGCAACAAUUCAACUGCUUCAUCUCAAGCAAAGAGUACCACAUCAUCAAGAAGUUCUUAAAUCGGUGCGAAGAAAAUACUUUCACAUUUGUGUUUAAGAAUGUAUAUUUGGAUAGAAGCCUUGCUUCGUAGUGUAUAAUAAAAAUCACGAGGCAACAUUGAGAAUUUCGGAGUUGAGUGUAACACAAUUAAUCCUCAACAAAUAUAUUAAAGCGAUUACAUUUCCUGUCUCUCGUCUCAUGCAUGUUACUGCUGAUUGCCUUUGAUAUUUUAAACCAAUUUUGAUUCACCAAAUAAUCAAUCAAUUAAUUUACUUGCUCUAUAUUCUCAUAACUUAUCCAUUACAGAUUUCCAAUGCGGACUCAAGUAUGGAGUUUUUCUAGCCUCAUAUUUGCAUUCGUAAUUAUCACGUCACAUGUACAAGAGAAUGAUUUGAUAUACAAUUGAACAGAUAUUAAUGAAUCUAGAGUAGUUUCAAAUUAGUCAUCGACAUAAUUGAUGCUAAAAUAAUUUCUAAGAGACAAAUUUUAAUCUCAAAUCCCCCAAAAAAAGAGUAGAUAAUUAAAAAAAAAAAAGCACGAACAAUUGCAAAAAGCUAUUUUUUAUAGUUUCACUUCAGUUCACAGCCUCCUCAUAUCGAGAAACAGCUUCUGAUCAAGCUCAAACUCUUGAAACAGAUUAUUUGUUACAUAUUUUUCAUGAACCAACUGGUCAACAUUGUUGAACUGUCGAUAUUUUUAUUGACUUCAAUUGACUAACAAGUUUCCUUCUUUUCUUGAAGGAUGGCUUUGACGGCGUUUCUUGAAGGAUGACUUAGACCUUUCGUUGAUUCGCGUCCUCGAUAUUGGUUCGUGGCAUUCAAUCUCCCUGAUCUCGCCGUCUUCCGGAGAGAAGACGUUUGUCGAAGUUAUCGCAAUCGACGCUUGCCAUUGUCCUGGUAAGUCAUGGUUAAGCUAACAGUAACAAUAACGGCAUUGAUAACUGUUAGAACGCUAAUAGUUUAUUUUAUUACUUGUUUUAAUUCAUUUCUUCUUAGCAUUAGGUUUUUUUUCAAUUAUAAAUUAAUGUUAAAUUAUAGUUAGGACUUAAGGAUGACAAUGGGGCAGAUAUGGGUUGGAUUUACUCUGCUCCAGAUCCAAAUCCAUAAUAAAAAUCAAAAUCCGUAUAUGCUCCAGAUCCGUCAUGAAUCUAUAUUUUUCGUUCCAUAUCUAGAUCCAAAAAAGAAAUAAAUAUCUAUAUCUGCUCCAAAUUCGCAAAAAAAAUUAAAAUCCAAAUCUGCUCUAGAUCCGUCAUGAAUUCUAAAAUUCAGUAAUAAAAAAGUAAUAAUUUUUUAGAUUGAAAAUUGAAGGCUAAAAUGUAUUGAUAACAAAUAAAUUAUAUAAUUUUUCUCAAAAAUAUAAUAAAUAUUGUAGCUUAUACUUUUACACCAAAACAACAAAUAAGAAAGAUAAUAAAAUAUCAUUCAGAAGUAAUUGCAGAAAUAAGAUCAAUCUAAUAUUCUAUUAUCUCCUUCAUCAUUCUAUUAUUUACGAAAUACCUACCCUUAUUCCUACAACAUUAGAUAAUGACAUAUAAAUUAAAUAUGAUUUAUAUUCAAUCCUUUAUUAUUUUUAUUAUGACCAUAUUUGACUAAAUAUAUGAAUAACUAUAUUCCUUAAAAAUUAUUUAGCAAAUAUAAUAAAAUAAAUUGCCAGGUUAUAUUACUUGGCUUGCAAUUUGAAUAUUGCAUGUACACGUUUUGGGGUUGGCUGACCUUUAAAUUUACAAAACAAACUUUUAAGUUUUAAGAGUUUAAAUGCAUGGUAAAUACUACUAAUAUGCUAUGAAUAAAAUUUAUUAUCAUUAUAAUUCUACAAUUGUUAAGAAACUUUUAAAAUAAAAUAAAAUUAAAAGAUGAGUGGAUAUGGAUAUAGAUUUAGAUAUUAAGAUAUAUCCAUAUCUGCUCCAGAUUCAUCUUAGAUCCGCACAUCGAUAUCCAAAUCCGAUAUAAAUCUAUUUUAAAUCGAUCCAAAUCCGAUCCGAUUGAAUUUGGAUCACGUGAAUCUUGGAUCAGAUCCAAUCCAUUGCCAUCCCUAUUAGGACUUUCUUAAACGACGAUAAAUAAAUAGUUUUUAUUAUAUUUUUUAAAAAGUAAUAAUAAAAUUAAUUCUAAUUUCUGUUAAUUCUUUUCUCUUCCCUCUGAAUUCUUAAAUUCAUUAUCUAUUUCUCUCUUAAUUCUCUACUCCAAACCUUAGAAUCCUACCAUGUGGUAUUAGAGCACAUCCUUCCUGCCACAAUUUUUUUCCGUUCACUAUUUAAAAAAAAAAGUCAUCAACCAAACUUUUGCCAAUAUCUCUUGGCUUUUGACUGGAGACUUAAACCGGACCCACCCUCUAAACUUUUUCCAACAUCUAAACUUUUUCAACCGAACCUGAAUUUUCUCGAGAGUUUUUUUGAGGCAUCAUGAUUGCUAAGGAGCUUGAAGGCAAAGGUCAACAGUUGUCUCAACAGUUUCAUGACAAAGUUACAACCAUCGAUGAAAAGGUUACGACCUUAGCCAAGCAAAAUAACAAUCUGCAGGAACUCAUGAACGACAUCCUUAAGCAAUUGAGCUAGUUGCAAAGAGGAAAACAACCGACUGCUGAUAAAAGACAAGUUGAUAUAUUUACUGGAGGGACCUCUGCUCCUCAAAUGGUAAUUGCUACCCAACCACCUCUUGAACCUGCCGAACGCAUUAGAAGUACUCUCAUGCAAGCUCGUAACAUAUGACUUGACUUUCCUAUUUUUCAUGGUGACAAUCCAACCGGAUGGAUUUUUCGAUAUGAGCAAUAUCGUCGCCUUACUGGAUUAUCAGAUGCUGACUUAUUGUCCUUAGCUAUUGGCCAUCUUGAUGGUGAUAUUGUACCUUGGUUUCAUUGGAUAUAGCAAACUAUGGGCGAAAUGACUUGGGUGCAAUUUAAACGGGCUUUGAAUACUUGAUUUGGGACAUUAGAAGAGAAUGAUGCAGUUGGCAGUCUUACCAAAUUACGUCAAAUAGGGACCGUUCUUGACUAUCAACGGUAAUUUUAAAAGUUAGCCAAUCGGACUAGCAAUUUAACUGAAUAUUUCUUCAUCAGUUGUUUCCUUUCUGGGUUACAUGAAGAUAUCAAGGCUGGCGUGCAACUGUUCAAACCUGUUAGUCUCGUUCAAACUUUUGAACUUGCUAGGUUUAAUAAAAGACAAUUACUUUGCAAGGCAAUUGUUCCCCCGUUCCUGCCAUCCAAGAUCUAGUCCCACAAUUACAGUUGACUCCUACUCCACCAGCACCCUCUUUAUUAGGACUGAUUUCCUCUACCUUACCUAAUAAUGUCAAACGUUUAUCCUCAGCUGAGCAGACAGAAAGACGUUCUGAAGGGCUUUGUUUCAAGUAUGACGAGCAAUUUAAGCCUGGGCAUCGUUGCAAACAAUCUCAACUAUUGCUUUUAGACGUUGAUAUAACUCUUCACAACCCUCCAAAACCGCUUGACCAUCAUUCGGAUUGGAAGAUCCCGAUUAUUGAGACUGGGUAAAAGGCUUGCAGACAAGCCUAUUUUAAGGGGCAGGGAAUGUUAGGACCCUAAUAAUUUAUUUUAUUACUUGUUUUAAUUUUUUUUCCUAUUAAUACUGGGUUUUCUUAUUUUAAUUAUGAAUUAAUGCUCUUAUUAAAUUACAAUUAGGACCAUCUUGAACGACUAUAAAUAAGUGGUUCUUAUUAUAUUUUUGAGGGAGCAACAAUAAAAUUAAUUCUAAUCUCAGUUAAUUCUUCUCUCUUCCCUCUAAAUUCUUAAAUUCUUCAGCUAUUUCUCCCUUAAUUCUCUGACCAAAACCUCAUAAUCCUACCAGUAACGGACUGCAUUACGUUGGAGAAGACGAUUUACACACACACAAGAUAAUAAAGGCAUUUAAAUCACCUAAUUAAGUUGUAUAGGGAUAAAUAAUUAAAUUACAAAAAGCUCGACAUAUACUGAAAAAUAAAAAAGAAAUUAAACAAAGUCAUAAAUUUAUUGGCAUCUGAAUUCUGAAAAUUGGUGUGUGUCUUCAGUAGGGAAAGUUAUCAUUUGCAUACGGUUAUUUUUAUUGAUAUUUAAUACCUCUAUUUUAUGUUCAAUUGGAAGGAAUUCUAGGCUGUUCAGUUUUCUACUUACGGUAUUAUCACGAUCGUUGUUAUUGAGAAAAUUGUGGCAAUUUUUUGAUUGAUAAUGAUGAUUUUAGUACGUGGCAGGCUCGGUGAUGCUGUUAUUUCGCGGAGAUUUUGGAUGCCUGCUCUAUACUGGUGAUUUUCGCUGGGAAGCAAGUAAUGAGAGGGCCGAGAUAGGAAGGAACACACUUGUCAAAGCUUUAAAAGAUGAUGUAGUCAACAUUCUUUAUUUAGAUAACACAUAUUGCAAUUCAUCAUAUGCUUUUCCUUCACGAGAAGUUGCAGCUCAGCAGGUACACUUUUUAAAUUUCUCUCCUGCGUUAUUUUUCCUUUCUUGUUUGAGAACUUUCAGUUUCACUCCAGAAUUAUCUACUGAAUUAAAGAUUAAAAUGGUAGAUGAAAGAAAUAGUCCAGUUACUGAUUUGUAGUGUUAGUUAUCUGGCUGGAAACAGAUUGUUGACAUAAUUGCCUCCCAUCCAGAUCAUGACAUCAUCAUUGGGAUUGACUCACUUGGAAAAGAAAAACUUUUAUUUCACAUAUCGCAUAAGCUCAAUAUAAAGGUUUGCUCACCCUUUUUAUAUCGGAAAACCUUUUCUUACAUAACGAUCAUCACGAUGGUCUCUCCAAGGGGGAUGAAAUCAAUAGCAUAUAUACAGUAAAUUGACAUGUUAUCUAAUUUUUGGAUCUCUUGUAGAUGAUUUAGAAGGAUCUUGACAGUUUUUAUUCUUCUAACAUCUAACAUAUGUUUUACAUUUUAGAAACUGGGCGGGUUAGAUUGUCAUUUGGUGGAUUUAAUUGUGGUCAAAUUCAUACAUCUAAUGUAUUGUCACACAUGUAUUAUUGGAUGCAUCCAAUUGUGUGUUCUUCCUCUUCAUGUGCCAUGAGAACUUAAAACUGCCCUCUUCAUCUCUUGCAAAAUGUUGUUUAGUCACAAGCAAGUGGAAUAAAAUUUUUGCAUUCAUUUCCAAAGCAGAUAUUUACUCUGUGUUUCUUGUUUCACAUUUUUUUUUUUUUAUAGAUUUGGGUGUGGCCAGAUCGCAUGCAAACCAUGCAUCUGCUUGGCUUCCAUGACACAUUCACAACCAAAACUUCUCUUGCUAGAGUGCGAGCUGUUCCACGGUAUAGUUUUAGCAUUGAUACUUUAGAGAAUUUAAAUACAAUGCACCCAACCAUUGGAAUUAUGCCAUCUGGUCUUCCUUGGGUGGUUAAGCCUCUUAAAGGAGGUAGCAGUCUUCCUGGUUCUCUUUUUCCUUCUUACCAAAGCAGAUGGAGAGCAACGGGUGGAACUCAGACUGAGAAACUGAAAGAAGCUUUAGGAUCAGUGGACAGUUUUCGUAAGUACAUAUAUUCAGUUCCAUAUUCUGAUCACUCCUGCUUUACGGAGAUAGAGGAAUUUUUAAACCUUGCCCAGCCAUUGAAUAUCAGAGGCAUCGUGUCUUCAUCAUCCUGUUCUGUUGACCCUCUUUACUACUUUGGCCACCUUUGCAGAGCAAAUCAACCAUCGCUGAGGUAUAAGCAGGAACAGAGAGUGCAGCACAAAACAGUUGUAGCCGCCCGAAUAAAAUUCAAUGUUGAAAGUGGUAGAUCCACUAAGGUAGAUAGGAAACGAAGGACUGCAGAAGUAGGUAUUUUAGGAGUUCACAUGAGUAAGGUGGAUGCCCUUAGGCGGGCCCGACGCGGUGCGAAGCUUGCUCGAAGUGAGAGUUCUGAUUGAUUAGGGUCAAAUAUCAAUAUCAGUUAAGCUUGAAAUUCUUGCAAGUAAUGUUACCUGUAUCGGUUUGAAUUCAGAGUCUAUUGUAUGGUUGAAGAAUACAUAUGAUGGUGUAGGGUGUAAGUAAUAUAAUCCUUUUAUUUAUUUAUUUAUCUCGGAUGUCUAAAGCGACGGCCUAUUAGUGCUCAUUAAGGAAAAUGGUUGUGUGAAAGCACUUCGUCUAGAUUAGGGAUGGCAAAUAUUUAAUUAUGGAUGGAUAAUAUUCAUCCAAACACAAAUCCAUAAUUAUCCAUAAUAGAUAUAUCUAUAUUCAUAUUCAAUAUUUAAUAUUGGACAUGGAUAUGGAUUUUAUCCAUAUAGCUAUGGAGAUCCAUGGAUAUCCAUAUAUAUUUUAUUUUUAUUAUAUAAAAAUAAUAAUAUAAAAUAGUUAAAAUUUCAAUAUCAAAUUUAGCUAUUAAACUAUUUAUAUUAGUAAUAAUAUAUAUAUAUAUAUAUAUAAUAAAAUGGCGGUUCGGUGGUUGGUGGCGGCGGUCCGGCAAGUUUCCGGUGAAUUCCGGCGGAGGUCCGACGACCUUUCGGAGACCUUCCGGCGAGGUCCGGCGAUCUUCCGGCGAGGUCUGGUGGUGGUUCGGCGAUCUUCCGGCGGUAAUUCUGGCGACAUUCCAGCGAUGUUCGACGGUGGUCCGGCGAGGUUCGGUGGUGGUCCGGCGACUUUCCAGUGGAUGUCCAUUUAUAAUAUUAAAUUAAUAAAAUAAAAUAAUAAUUAUUAAUAGUAUUAAAUAAGUUAAAAAAUUAAAGGGUAAUUUUAAAAACUUUAGUUUUUAAUAUAAGAGAAAUUUAAAUUUUUCACUAGUUAAUAUAAUAUUUUUACAAUUGUUUGUUUAUUAUAUUUUUAAUUUUUAAUUUUAUAAAAUUUAAACUUUUUAAACUUGUGUUGGGUUAAACGGAUAUCCAUUGGAUAAAAAUAAUUAUCAAUAUCCAUCUGGAUAUAAUUUUAAAAUAUCCAUUUCAAGAUCCAAAAAAUUUUGGAUGGAUAUUAUCCGAUCCAAUUGGAUGGAUAUUAUGGAUAUCCAUUAUGGAGCGAUCCAGUUGCCAUCCCUAGUCUGGAUCAGUCAUUUUGACUGUUUACGCCUGGAUCAGUCAUUUGAUUGUUUACGCGGGAUAGGUAUAGUGGCUUUUUGGUUUAGAUUAUUAUAGUUGUUUUCAAACUCGUGGCCUUUAAACACAUUAUAGAUUGACAAUCAAGGUCUUUACUUGAUUUGCAAUAAGGUAAAGAAGUCAAAUGGGUAAUUAUUUUUUGUGAGAGUGAAUUGCGGCAAACAUGAGCAAUUUUUGCAUCAUUGUGCAUUUUGUUGUAGAAUGAGGAGAGUCAACUUUCCUGACCAUCUAGAUGAACCCUUAGUUGAAUCUCUCCAUGGCCAUAAGUGGGCGGCAUAGACCAAAUCCUGAAACUAGUCAUGGUCUAAUAUGCAGACCACUCUGACUAUGGCCAAGACACUGGAAAAUGGUGAACGUUGACUAAGUUUUGAAAGUUAUCAAAUUUAAUAAAACAAAUCAAAUUUAUAAAGUUUUGAAAGUUAUCAAAAUUUAAUAAAACAAAUCAAAUUUAUAAAGUUUUGAAAGUUAUCAAAAUUUAAUAAAACAAAUCAAAUUUAUAAUUAAGGGUCCAGCUACGGUGCCCCCUUGGGCACGGUGUCCCCUUCUUUUGUCAUUAUUCAGGCUAGCCGUUAGAUUAUAAUGACUUUAAUCCAACGGUUGGGAUUUUGAAACUGUACAAUGAUGUGAAGUGGGCAACUGUCCAAACCUGUUUCGGCUACCAAAUUAGUUUUAGGGUUCUACAUACGGCUGCGUCUACGGUGCCCUAGGGGCACCGUACCCCCUAUUUUUGUCUUUAUCGAGGUUGUCGUUUGAUGAAAAGGAGCAAGAUCGUGCAGCUGUUGAGUGGGCACGUAGCUCACGAGACAAACGGGGGAUGUAGGUCAUGACACCGGAACUGUUUGAGUUGCAAUAAAUUUGUUUUAAGGAACAAGAAAAUAUUUAUCCAUUAUAACAAUAAACAUAUUAGUUGAAACAACUAUUUUGGCAGCAAUUAAUUUUUAAGGAACAAUAAAAUGUACUACAUACAAGUUUAUGUUGCAAAAGCCAAAAAUUUCGAUAUACUAAUACUAUUGUAGCUGUAAAUAAGAAGUAAUAAGAUUAUUAACACUGUAAGGUUAAUGGAAGGAAAAUCUAUCCAAGCCUAAAAUGAUACAAACUACAUCUGUUCGAAUUUAUGGUUGCUGAAAAAUCUUUCAUGAUUUGAUCUACUCCUUGACCACAUAAGUGGGUUGAAUUAAUUUAUAUAUUUGAAAUUAGGUGGUUGAAUAACGAUGGCAUGGCCAUAUGGAUUCAAUUUCUUGAUGGACCAAUAACCUUGUUUCGACUGAAAUCAAUACGUGCAAGUAGUCAAUUUGACAGUUGACAUAAACUGUGCUUUUGAAUUGCAAUGGAACAUAAAUGAACAAGCUUUCAUCUAGCUUUACAGAGUGUGAACUAAAUGGUGUAGCAAAUAUAAAUGAAAGAAGGAGCCCGGGGGGUGGAGGCGUGAAGAACUUAAAUAGCAGGUUUUAUUCUGUCGAAAUACUACAAGCACAUUUGUAAUAUUCAAAAGAUGCUGCAACUGUAGUUCUUAGUAUUUGGAGUCAGAAAACUAAGCUUCAAUAUCAUGACAUAACAAAAGAUACAAUAAAAAUUGCACGGACAUAAUAGUUGUCAUAUUUCCAUAACAACGUUACCAAGUCCGUAAAAGCUAGGAACAACAAAACACAUAAAAAUAGUUUCAUAUUAGAGAAUAUCUGAAUUUACAGAGCAUAGAUUAUGUCUAAAUUUCCUGGUUAGUUGAGUUUCUUCGAUGAUCUUGUUCGAAAGCUAAUACCAUUCGUAUCUAAAAUGUACCUCACAGUAUCAAUCAUCUCAAUUAAACUGCCACAAAGUUUCCUCUUUAGCCUGCCACAGUUGUAGCAAACUACCAAAACCCAUUUGACAAGCAGCCACUCUUUGUUCAUCUGUCAGCUGUGAAACUGCUGCCGCUAAUCUAUCUGGGGCGAAUAUAGUCAAGAACUUUGCCUUUGCCACUUCUGACUUCACUAUUUGUCCGCAUUCAAUUUGUAUUAAAAUUUUCUCUCCGAUGGUAAAUCCUUAAACGUGGAUCCAAUUUCCAUCUAGUACACAAUCAUGGCAAAUAAACUAACUACAUCUCCACUAAUUGAAAAUACAAAUUUAUUUUAUCUUUAUAGUGCAACUUUACAUACCUCUUCUGUAAUGCACGUCAUUCCAUCGCUUGCCUUAACCUCAUGCACGGCUUCGCCGCUGCAAUAUCAUCAUAUGACUGCAAAAUUAUACAUCUCUAUAAUUUUUAAUGAACUAAGCUUACAAAUAUCUUAUGAACCCAUUAUGGCAUUUCCUUUUUCUUCUUCCUUCAAUACUUUGAUCGUCACCAACCUCUUCAACACCGCCAUCAAUCUCACACAAUUUAUGCUUAUUACUUCCCACCAACUUAAUUUAUGAAAUUCAGUGAUACAUUUAUUUAUUAUAAUCAAACUAAAGUUCAUAGCAACAUAAAGUUUACAUUCCUAGUCCAGCACAAAACAAACAAAAAAAUUGGGGAAAAAAAUAAACAAAGGAGAUCUGGAACGAAGGGUAAGCAUGUAUCAUUUUACUGUUCCUAAUUUUAAAAAUGUUCACUGUAAAACUUAAUAACACCCAAGCUAACUGGAACUAAUUGUUACGGAUUCGAAUAUCAUUUUAAUACAUGGAAUUACUAAGAUGAAUAUUAUGACAAAAAAAUCCUUUACAUUAUUACAUUGUUGAGAAAAUAUCCAUAACUUUAUUUUAAAAAAUUUGUGCACCCCAAUUUUGCCAUUAUCCGUAUGAGAUCUAGCUUCCCACCAACCAUAUUAUGAACAACAAAUGAUUCAUAUCACAAAUCUCAUAUUAAAAUUACACUUACCUUAAAUUUGGUAUACGCAAUCCUUUCUGUUUCAUUCAAUACUGCCAUAACAAACUACAAGUCACUGCACUCCACUUCAAAAAUUCGACACGACAUCAUUGCUCCAAUUACAGUUAUACAGAAUUAAGAAAAUAUUCAUGCUUUAAAAAUUUCGCCAAUGUCUGUUGAAAUACAACCAAGGGUAUGUAGAGGGUCCAGCUACAAUACCCAUGGGGUUUGGUACCCCAUUUUUUGUCUUUUUCAAACCUACCGUUGGAUUUAACGUAAGUGCAUAAUGGCUGAGAUGUGAUUAUUGGGUUAUUAACAUCAAAGACCCUUAUUGUUCAUGUAAAAUAAAAAAAAAUCAAAAGUUUUGAAAUUAUGACAUAUAAGUCAAUAAUAUUCUCUUUUUUUUUUUUUUUAACUCUAUUGAAAUAUGUUUCCAAUUAAAUGAUUUAUUCUUACAUUUAUUAGUAUCUAUUUUAAUUAAUAAAUUUAUUAAUUAAUAAAUUAACUACUUUAUUAUAUAAUUAAACUAUGUAUAUUAUUUACUAACCAUAAUUAAUGAUAAAUAUAAAUAUGAUCUUUUUUUUAAUUUAAUAUAACAACAACUAAUUUUUUCUGACCUAUGUGAAUAAGGUUCAAAACCUAUAUUUUUCUUUUCCGCAAGACGGUGACCCUUGUGGGUCUAUCAACAAUUCAAAGAUUGCACAACUUGAUUGUCCAUUUCCAAUCACUCAUUUCUUUCUCUCUGCCCAACCAAACGCGUAAAACUGAUUAACGUUGUUGAUAGAGUUUUAAAUAUGAUCAAAUGGCUGUGAUUGUUUGUAGGCUUGGUCCUAUAAAGCUCAAUCGACCUACAAGCCAAUAAAAAAAAUUAAUUGAAAUUGCUAGCACUAGCCGCAACUGGGCCCAUUCACAUUACGAGGUUCACCUCCUCUAGAACUUGUACAGGUGGACAUGGUUACAAACUAUUGCUUUUGUAGAAACAAUCCAAGUUGAUGUCUAGGGUGGAUAUUAAAAUCUUGCUGACGCAAUCUGUUAUAUUGGUUUAAGAAUUACUAUAUGCAUGUGUAACAGCUUAUUAACAAGGAAUUGACACUUGUUAUAUAUGUGUGUAAAAUACAUUGAUUCAAUAAUAAGAAGUUUUCAGUUUAUCAAUAUUUUCUUUCUCUUUCGUUUAACUUUCUCGUUUACCAAACACAACAUUUGGUUUUCUUUCACAAAGUGUCGGAUUUUGGGCUGGCAAAGCUUGUUGGGAGGGAGUUCAGCCGUGUCCUAACAACCAUGAGAGGAACAAGAGGUUACCUUGCACCUGAAUGGCUAUCAGGAGUGGCCAUAACAGCCAAAGCGGAUGUCUACAGCUGCGGAAUGAUGCUGUUUGAAUUUGUAUCAGGAAGGAGGAACUCCGAGGAAUUUGAAGAUGGUAAAGUGAGGUUCUUCCCAUCUUGGGCUGCUAAACAAAUAGUUGAAGGCAGCAAUCUCAUUAGCCUAUUAGACCCAAGACUGGAGGGCAACGCAUAGGAAGAAGAGCUUGCAGGACUUUGCAAAGUGGCUUGUUGGUGCAUCCAAGAUGAUGAAACUCACAGGCCAUCAAUGGGUCAAGUAGGUCAAAUUCUUGAGGGAGUUUUGGACGUGACACUGCCUCCAAUUCCCAGAGCUCUCCAAGUAAUGGUCGAUGACCAUGAGCACGUAGUCUUCUUCACUGAAUCAUCCUCAUCUCAGAGUUCCCUGUCAAAGAGCAACAAUUCAACUGCUUCAGCUCAAGCAAAGAGCACCACAUUAUCAAGAAGUUCUUAAAUCGAUGUGAAGAAAAUAUUUUAACAUUUGUGUUUAAGAAUAUAUAUUUGGAUUAUUUCACUUGUAACAACCUGUAUGCAUAUUUGGAUAGAAGCCUUGCUUCGUAGUGUAUAAUAAUAAUGCCCCCUGCCAAAGCAAUUUUAAGAAUCACAAGCCUUGUGCCUCGCUGUUCUCUCUAAUGAACUCUGAUUGAUCUAUGCUCCUCUGCGUUGACUUUUGGGUUCACCUAAUCGCUUCAAUUGUCAAAAUUAGGUAUUGAAAUGAAAGCGAAAUGCCAAAAGCAACUUGGAACUUGGAUGUUAUCCAGAAGAAGGGGAAAAACAGCAGAAACAAUCAAACAUAAACGUGACGUUGUAAUAAAUAACAUCGGUCAAGAUAUGAAUCAACUGGCCAACAUUGUUGAAUUGUCCAUAUUUUGAUUGACUUCAAUUGACUAACAAGUUUCCUUCUUUUUUUGAAGGAUGGCUUUGACGGCGUUUCUUGAAGGAUGGCUUUGACGGCUUACGUAGCACAAAUAAUUUAUGUUGGACGUUUAAAUAAUCCAUCAGAAAAAAAUUAUCACACGGUUGACAGUAUAAGCACAACGACAGUGAUUACUAACUGUUUCUGCUUAGGCCCGCCAUACCCAACCCUCAAUUUCUCCCUUAAGUCUUGAUAAAUAGACCAUCUGCUGUUCAUAAACAUCAUCUUGUCUGCACAGAAGUUUUCCAGCAGCCAUGGAUGUCAAGAACAAGGCAUGGUUCAUGCUUUGUGUUCUCUCCGUAUGCUUCACUCUCAAACCUCAUUUAUCCUUUGCUGCUCGUGACUCCAUCUCUGCAAACCAAUCUCUCUCUGGGGAUCAAACUAUUGUCUCUGCUGGUGGGGUCUUUGAACUAGGCUUCUUCAAGCCAGGUAACUCUUCAAACUACUACAUAGGCAUUUGGUUCAAAAAGUUGUCAGAACAAACCAUAGUUUGGGUGGCAAAUAGAGACAAACCAGUUUCCGAUAAAAACUCCUCAGUGUUAAGAAUAUCAGAUGGUAAUUUAGUUCUUUUAAAUGAGUCUAAAACGGCCAUCUGGUCCACAAGUUUGAACUCUAGUAAUACAACAACUUCAAUCGAAGCAGUUGUUCUAGAUGAAGGUAAUUUUGUUUUGAGAGAUUCUUCAGCUAAUUCAACCUUAUGGCAAAGUUUUGAUCAUCCGACUCAUACAUGGCUUCCCGGAAUGAAGUUUGGAAUAAACAAACGGGCAAAAGUAAACCAAUUUCUCAUCUCAUGGAAGAAUAAAGAGGAUCCUGCACCGGGUCUCUUUUCGCUUGAGCUAGCCCCAGAUGGAUCGGAUCAAUAUGUUAUAAUGUGGAAUAGGUCUGAAAAAUACUGGAAUAGUGGAGUCUGGACUGGAAUAAAUUUUGCCAACGUUCCGGAAAUGAUAUCUCAUCAUAAUUUCGACUUCAACUACAUUUCGGAUGAAAAUGGGAGAUAUUUCGUUUAUUCUGUUACUAAUUCUAUGACAACUCGUUUUGUUAUUGAUUCUUCAGGGCAGAUUGAGCAGAUGUUUUGGUUGGAGUCUAGCAAGGCUUGGUUUCAGUUCUGGUCGCAACCAAGGCAACCUUGUGAUGUUUAUGCUUAUUGUGGCGCAUUUGGCAGCUGUAAUGAGGGAAACCAGUCUUUCUGUGCUUGUCUGCCUGGUUUUAGGCCAAAAUGGGAGAACAAUUGGAACUUGAUGCAGGAUUAUUCUUCUGGCUGUGUGAGGAAAACCCAACUGCAGUGUGAAAAUACUGUUGUUACAAAUGGAAAGAGUGACAAGUUUUUAGCAAAUUCUCACAUGGUAUUGCCUAAACAUCCACAAUCUGUGGCAGUAGGGAGUAUCAAGGAGUGUGAAACAACCUGCUCGAGGAACUGCUCUUGCACUGCUUAUGCUUAUGAAGACAAUGCUUGUUCAAUAUGGAUUGGAAGUCUCUUGAGUCUGCAUCAACUUUCACCAGGUGACGCAAAUGGGAAAACUAUUUAUGUCAAGCUUGCAGCUUCGGAGUUUUCAAGUUCCAGUAAUAACAAGGGAAUAGUCAUUGGUGCUGUCGUGGGUUCAGUGGCAUUUGUAGCUCUAUUAGGCCUUCUUGCUUUUAUGUAUUUCAGGAAGAGAGAGAAUACAAUGAAAACAAGCAAAUCAGUGGAGGAUGGUUCAUUGGUGGCAUUUGCAUACAAGGAUUUGCUAACAGCCACAAAGAAUUUCUCUGAAAAGUUGGGGGGAGGAGGUUUUGGUUCUGUUUUCAAAGGGAGGCUGCCUAAUUCAAGUGUCAUAGCUGUGAAGAAGCUGCAGAGCUUCAGCCAAGGAGAGAAACAAUUCAGAGCAGAAGUCAGCACAAUAGGGAACAUCCAACAUGUCAAUCUAGUUAGGCUUCGUGGAUUCUGCUCUGAAGGUACCAAAAAAUUAUUGGUCUAUGAUUACAUGCCAAAUGGUUCCCUAGAUUCGCACAUCUUCCAUAGAGAGGAUUCAAAGGUUCUUGAUUGGAAGACAAGAUACCAAAUUGCACUAGGGACAGCCAGAGGGUUAGCUUAUCUCCACGAGAAGUGCAGAGACUGCAUCAUACACUGUGACAUAAAGCCAGAGAACAUUCUAUUAGAUGCUCAAUGGUGUCCAAAAGUGGCAGAUUUUGGAAUGUCAAAGCUUGUUGGGAGAGAAUUCAGCAGAGUCCUAACGACCAUUAGAGGAACAAGAGGGUAUCUCGCACCAGAAUGGCUUUCAGGAGUGGCCAUAACAGCUAAAGCUGAUGUUUACAGCUAUGGAAUGAUGCUCCUUGAAAUUGUGUCAGGAAGGAGAAACUUUGAAUGGAACUCUGAAUACUCUGAAGAUGAAGAAAUGAAAUACUUCCCAACUUGGGCAGCAAGCCUAAUGAGCGAAGGUGGCAAUGUGCUUAGCCUUUUAGACAAAAGUCUUGAGGGUAGUGCUGAUGUAGAAGAGCUUUCAAGGAUUUGCAAAGUUGCUUGCUGGUGUAUCCAAGAUGAUGAAACUCAUAGGCCAUCAAUGGGUCAAGUGGUUCAAAUACUUGAGGGGGUUUUGGAAGUGACUCAGUCUCCAAUUCCAAGAUCCCUUAAAGUAAUCGCAGAUAACAAGGAGGAUAUAAUCUUCUUCACCGAGUCAUCUGAGACUUCAGCUGCUUCAUCUCAAGCUAAGUUCGCUGGAUCGUCAGCAAGUUCCUAAAUCCUUACCAAGAUAAUCAAUUUUAUUUGAGUAGUACUUGUUAUUUCUGUUUUUUGGAUUUGGGUGGUGUUUUGUUAUUUCUGUUUGACUAUAGUCUUGAAUUUAUUGCCCUUAUUUGAGUACUGCUAUCCUAGAUAGUCUACUAUACAUAUGUGGUUGUAAUCUAUAUUAGUUUCAUAUGGUUUGAACUUCGAAUGUCGUAGCAUAAUGUUUAUCAAAAUCUCGUGUCUGCAGGUUGUUUAUUUUCUAACUGUUAAUAAUGUCCGCUCGAAUGAUAACAAUUUAUCUACCUGUUAAUAUAUGAUUUUAAUAUAUGUUGAUAUGCAGAACACAACAUAACAGAACCAACCAUUUGAAAUUUCAUUUCAGUUGGACGAGUAAUCUAACGUUGAAUUUCACUGUCAUCAAUGGUAAAACAAAGAGUCCAGUUCAUACUUCAGAGUCGUUGCAAAUUAAUUAAAAUGACUAGAAGAUUGGAAUGAAUAGCGAAAUAGACAAACUGAAUUGAUAAGAUAAACAAAUAGAUAGAAUAAAAAUAAAACUAUGUACUGAAAACAUCCGAAUUUGUUGCAGUGUAUUGCAGCACCAAUUUCAUUUGGGCCAAGAAUGUACAAAGAAGCAAAAUCUUGAUGAGUUAUGUUCGAUAAAGUUCAAUGCAGUUAAAUGAAAAAAACUGAAACUAACCCCUCUGUAUAUUCCAGUUUCUAUUCUGUUUCCAAUGGACCGCAAAAACUUAUACGCAGUAAUGAGACUGCAGUAGCACAUUACAAAAUGACACAUCCACAUGUCCCCUAUAAUAUCUGUACAUGCUAAGUAACCCAAAUCUGCAAUGGUAAUUGGUUGAAGAAAAAUAGGGUACUAAUCGUAUUAUAAUACUGAAUAUGGUCAGCUUAGUCUUUGUGUCGAUUGACUACCUUGAUGCCAUCCGUCCAAACACAACCUCUAGCAAAAAGAGACGCAUUUUCCUCUAGUAUUCUGAGCUGUUCCCGAAGAAUUUCAGAACGGUCAAAAAGUGAAGAGUCUUUGAAAGAGGAUUCUUCAGGUACUUUGAGAUCAGACCAGCUUUCUGCCGGCAGGUAUAAAGCUUGUGAAGUGCUGUACCACAGCUCUGAUGAUCAAUAUCCAGAGAAGAAUUAUAGCUUAUCUCAAAAUGAGUGAAAUUAUUAAAAAAUCUAUAUACAUAGCUCAUUUCUAUAAUCCAUUGGGUUCAUAGUCUUAGAUAUCCUGAUAAGAAUUCCAACCCACUGCUUCUACAUAUACCCAGACAUUGAACACAAUUUGGUUUAUUUAUUUCUUAAGAACAUCAUGGUCAGUGAUUCAAAGUUCAAAACAUGAAUUUCAAGGAUUAUGAUAUCUAUGUGGCACGUGUGUCAAGUUUAGUAAAACUUAAAUCUCCAUGGGAAUUCGACGAAAAUCAACAAGCUCCUUCUUAGUCAUAGGUCCGGGUGGCAAAGCUUAUUCAGUUUUGACUUUGGAUACCUGCCUGCCUGAACAAUUGAUUAAGGACGAACCUAUACUAUGCAUGUCGGAUAGUAGUAGCAGAACCACUCAAAAUAGGCAGAAGAUUGCAAUCUAAACCAAUAUAUGACAAGGGUAGAACAUAUAGAGCUUAAACUUUACCUGUGCCUUGUAGCUUAGCAAUCCCACUACAGGGGAGACAACACAGUGUGUUUUCUUGUUGAGGGUAUCAGUUGGCACAUCUCUCAUAACCAUAUGUCCUAGCGAGUGAUAAGUCAAGAAAGCUGCACCAAAUUUCCCUUCAGGAAUUCGAUAUAUGGGAUACCAAGCCACUGAAAACCUAAAACCAAUUUAUUCAGGUUGUAAUAAGAAUGUCACAGAUUGGUUCCCCCCACCCCAAAAAAUAAGUAAAUAAAUGAAAGCACCAUGUGGUGACUGAUUCUCACCAGGAUGCAGGAUGUAGAUCAUUCAGCUUCAAAGAUUUCAACUGUGAUAUGUCACCAAAUACUUGAAGACAAGAAGCUUCAGCAUCAAAAAGAUCCAGAAUUCUGCAAUUAGUAAUUAGUUAAGAUCCAAUCCAGAUACAUCUUAACACCCCAUUUCAAAUAAAAAUGAUGAGGGUUUCAAUGAAUUGUAAACAGAAUGAGAAGAAAGAGUUCAAGGAAAAAAAGCCUACAUGAUAAGCGGUAAUUGGAAAUGGAUGACUAUGAGUGAGUACUAAUUAAGAUAAGAAGAUAAAAAGAAGACACAACUACAGCAAUGAGGACAAAACAUGUCAAACCUUCAACUAGGGCAAUGGUUGGGCACACCACACAAGAAAAGCUGAAAUGGAACUACAAAUCAACUAUGUAGAAUCAUCAUUUCCAUGUACGACUUUUAUGAAUUCUGUAAAUAUGGCAAUGCAAGUUUUGAGGUAAGAAAGCAGAACUCUCAAUGCACAUGGUACAAUAACCUACAGCAGUAUCAUAAAUACUCCAAGAUGCAAUUUCUUCAAGUUAAUGAAUAGACUACAGAUUAAAUACCAUGUGAGAGAAAUAUGCCAGACUCAAGUUUAGAAAAAUAGUUCUAAUAGCAUCCACUGUAAAUAAUUGAUUGUAUAUCAACCUAGCAAUUUGAAUUAGCGACUGCCUGAUGAUUAUAAUUUUCAAUACAGCAAACGAAAGAUAAAGGCUAGUGGCGAAAUUUACUUAUUAUGAAGAGGCCUUCGCAGCCAAGGUUUCUCAGUUUCAAAAAAUUCAAAUAAAAGUUCACAAUUACUGGAGCAAUCAGGUGAUGGAGUGAAACACUGGGAGUGGCCUUCAGGACAGAAAGCCUUAUAUGAAUUGACACUCUCUUCAAACGAGCCAAAUUUCAGCUCUGGGGCCAAAAUAUUUUUCCCCUCUAAUGCUGUUGAGCUAUUUCUGAUAUACAUGUCAGAGUUGGAGCGCUCUUCAUUUGUACCACAAGAAUUAGAUAGAUAUGAGUAGCCAAACAAUUGAACAGCUGAAAGAUAAGGAACAAAAUGAGCAUCAAACGAUGCUGAUUCAGUAAGCCGCCCUUUUAGGUUCUGAGAAUCCCCUACUUUGACUUUCAGUCCAUAAUUCCCUGGCUCCUCGUACCAGUUCCAAACAGAAAAAGUGAUGUAUUAGGUAUCUGGGGCUUACACAAGGAGCUAUCAGACAACUGAUCACCCAAACAUAAAGAACAUUUUCCGUGUUGAUAUAAUGAGGCAAUAGCAGGAGCAGCGGAGUGGAGGAAUCUUUCGAACUCCACAAGUGGACAUCCUGUUUCUAGCUCAAAACCCUCAGAUACUAGUUGCAUUUUGUAAGCAGCAUUUAGAGGAUCUGUUACCAUUAAGCCAACAAUAAGCUGUUGAACAUCUUUCAAAUUUUGCACAUAUUUCAUUCUAAUUUCAGCACUCUUGACGUGGACUUCUGUUGUGGUACGCUGACUGUCAGAAUUUGGAGCUUCAGUUUCAACUAUAUUCAAACUGUUGCUACCAAUUAGGUGUGUACUUUUAAAUUUGCUUAACAUGGCAGAUGCACGAUGAUCAAUUACAUUUCCCCCCAAACGGCCAUCCUUCUCUACUUCAUGUAAAAGUGGCAAGUCGCCAUUACUAACAUGACAGAUACCAGCAGAACCAGUUUUUUCUGAAAUACUUGACCCCUUAGUGCCAACAGCAACCCACUUCUUUGAAUUCAUUCUAGAAGUAACAUCUUUUAUGAAUUGGUUUUCAUUAAAUUGUUCAAAUUUUAAGCAUGAUUCACUUUUUGUGGAAGCAUGAAAUGAUCUAGCUGAUACGUAACUCAUCCCUGGUAUCUUCACCCCACCGUAUGGUUGAGAGCAUACCCUAGUUGGCCGUCCAUGACAAGAAAAAUCAGAAUAAGAAUGCAAGCAGGAUGCACCAUGGGUAAAACCAUGCUGGCUACUGUAAGUUCUCUGCGCCAUAUAAGGAUUCUUGUAACAGUUCAGUUCAAAUGGCACCUCUAAAAAUUCUUUCUUACAUAAACAAGCCUUGUUAUGAGGCCUCAAGAAAUUGUGCCCCUGACAUUCCAGUCCUUUCUUGCUUCUGCAAUAAUUUCAAGGGUUAAAGGAUCCCUUUGUUUUCAAUUUCUGUUCUUCAUAUUCAUCCAAUUCACAAGUGGCCACUUGACUUAAUUGGGACACGUGUCGAUCAAGUCUCCUAUUUAAUCUCUGAUCAGCAACCCAUCGAGAGGACUCAACCAACACCUUCUGGUGGAUUCUCACAUCUGUUUUUGUCUUUUUAUUUCCUGCAUUUGCUACACCAAUGUGCCUAGAAGAUUCAAUUGUUGGAGUGGGCAGCAAUCCUUUACCAAAAAAUGAGUUGUGCUCGACAAAAAGGUUCUUCUGCAGCAUACUUGCAUCUCCCUGUAGAUAAUUGCGUUGCAAUUUGUUACCCUCACUGGUUUGUGUUUCCCUUACAUUCCUCUGCUUCUUCCGCCAGACUGAUUGGCUAUUUUCCUUCCCUGUCAUGAUAUGUUGGUGAUUUCUAGUCUUAUUGACAGCAUCAAGUUCAGAUGGUAAGUUAUGGCUCUUAAAUCCAUUUCUUUCUCUGAUGGCAUGAGAACUGUUGCAGACGUCACACCCUUGCUUGUUCUCAUCUGGAACUUUACAGCAAGUUCUACUAUUGCAGUUUUGAAUAUUCAGAUCUUCAGAACACAGUUUCACAUGUAUUUCACAUAGAGAAGUUGAAUUCACCAGUGGGGUAUUUUUCUCCAAGCCCUUUUCACAGUUUAUAGCAGGAUUGAGUAUAUCCUCCAUAAUUGAUGAAGAAGUUGACUUUGCAUCAAUAACAUCAUAUUUACUUUCUCCUGCCAUAGAAACAAUCUUACAGGAGAUCUUUUUACUUGAAUAAGUUCUCUUUUUGUUGUUCUUCUUUUUCUUUCUAAAAUGUUUCUUGAACUUCGGAUCAUCAGUAAUUGAAUCCACUUUGCUGUUUACCUGCUUAUCACUAAAACCAAGAGUAGCUGAUUGGAAAGAUCCAGCACAUCUUGACUUCUCAUUACACACAACAUCUGGUACAGCUAGAUCUCCGUAUGGCUUCAAAGCCUCAGAGAUCCAGAUGUCACCAAGAACUGCACAACCUAAAGAGCUUGACGAACUACAGAUACCAUUUCCCCGUUCUAUAUGUUGAACUAAUGCUCCUGAAACUUCCAUCUCUAGAACAUUUAUCAAUUUAACGAUUUUCAGUCCUUAUCUAAAUCAACACCAGAAAGCAAAGCCUGCAAUGGGAAAUGAACAAGUUAAAGAAAAGGGGCACGAUCAAGUUCCAAAUGAAAUCAAGUCCUACUAGAGACAGAUAACAUGUUAACAAUAAAGUCAACAGAAUUUGAAUGAAACAAGAAUCCACUCCAGCCUGUCAAAUAUUAAAGCAACAGAAAAGCAAAGAACCAAAAGAGCAUCUCAUUUCUCAUAUGAACCAAAGAUUGGAUAAAGUCAAUAAAAAAUAAUUGGAAUAAAAUGCAAUGAACAAGCACUCAAACCAAAUAUAUUCAUAUGAUCCUCAAAUUUGCAUUUUAGUUAAUGAGAUACUAAAGUGAAUUUAACUAACUACCUAACAGUACAAGCACACAUCUCAUGAAACAAACCAAUUUAUCAGGGCAUUUGCGUACAUACAAAAGUCCAAAUAUCUCUUUAAAUCAAACCCACCUAAUUUUUACCAACAAAAGUUAUUUUUCUUGACCUAAUAUAACUCAAGGGUAGAACUAAAUAUGAACCCAAGAAAUAGCCCAAACCAUGUAAUUUAUUCAAAUGCACGUUUUCAAGUACUUCUCAGACAGUUAUUUAAUUCAUCUGCUACCCAAGAAAAACAAAAUGAAAGUAGAAAAAAGAACAAGAAAAAGAAUGCCACUUUACCAAGUGCAGGUGAUGGGUUCUUGUGACUGCUCAAAGAACCCAGAAAAUAUAAUUAAAAGGAAAUAUCCAUGUUCCUUUAACCAAAUUAAGAAACAUACAAAGAAAACGACAAAUUUUGAAACAAGAAACGUGAAUAAUACUGAUCAAAUUAUGACACCCGUAUUGAAUUUAGAUCAAACAAAAAGAUUAAACAGAGAAAAAAAGAUAAAAGAAAAAGAAAGUACCUGAGAGACAAAAUGAGAAGCGCGCCAGAAGCCAAAAUAUGAAAAAUGGGUUUUUGGGGUUUUGACUUUUGAGUCUGUUUCAAUUUUUAUUUAACGGAUUUCUUGAAAUUGCUAGGAAAUAUUCUCUUAGAGUGUGGAGUAGGCAUAUCACAGUUGAUGAGGUCGAAUCUCUCUCCGUGGGCGCCUUGUGUCUAAUACGUAUGAUGAUAACACAAGCAAAAUACCAUAUGGAUGGAUUAUGGGCAGCCCGCGGAAUUGUCUGUUGUACCCCGCUAUUGUAACCAUCCAGGAGGAUCCGUUUUAAUAUUUUUUUUUGCUACACUUUAAAUAUUCCUAUAAAUGAAUUAAUUCAUGUUUAUAAACAGUGUUACGGAAAAUAAGGGAGAUGGUGAAUAAAUAAUAUUAUAAGUUUUUUAAAAAGUUACAUAAAUAAAAUUAAUAGUUUUUGAAAUAAAAAAUUAUUUCUAAAGAAACAUGAAUUAUUGCCAAGUAGCAUGUGAAUAAACAUUUAAUUAUUCAAAAAAGAAUGAUUAUGUACUCUUUGAUGUAUGUUACGACGUUAAUUGGUGAGAAUGAAAUACUGUACAAUAAAUUAUCUUAGAAAUUUGUUAAAGUAUACUAUGUACCAAUGAAUGUUAUUUUUUCGAAUGAAAAUUUUGGGAUGAUAAUAUUAGGGAUAGGACUAUUUGAGCUCUAAAAAUUAUUUUAAAUACUCUAUUAUUCUAUAGAUUUGUGUACUAUGAACUCUCUACUUUCUUCCAAUAGUUAGUAGUGUGAAAGUGGUGUAAUGAGGGAGUGAUGUGGUGUCUUAAUUACUCUCCCGUUUAGCUCUUUGUUAGUGUUUUUUAAGUCUGCUGUUUUAAAUUUGUGAAGUUUUUUAUAUUGUCGCUAUUUUCCAUUAUUGUUAUUGGUGGUCUAUAUGAUGGGUACGAUGGAAUUAGCGAAACUUUGUGGCUCUUUAACUUUGCGUGUCAAAGCAAGUACGAUUUUGUCUCAGAUGCUGUCCAAAAGCGAAGGGAGGCAAUGGUAGUGAAUUACUUGAUUAGUAAGAUAUUAACGAAGCAGGUGAUUUCCAAAGAUGCCUUCACUAAGAAUUUUCCAGUGAUUUGAAGAACAUUCAGGGAGUUAAGAUCAAAUGUUUAGAGAAGAAUGUAUUCUUGUUCUGUUUUAGCUGACGAGUUCUUUUGUUGGCCCAUGGCAUUUUGAUAGGACAUUGGUUGUUCUCACUCCAUUGCAAGGUAAUGGUGAUUUGACUGUGGAAUGUUCUGACAAAGUGGCAUUUUGGGUGUAAAUUUAUAACGUGCCCUUAUUGUAUAUAUUAAAAGAGAUAACUGAACUUCAACUGAGUAUACAUGGAACGAUGGAGAAAGUAGAUAUGAGAUUAUCUAGUGAUUGUAUGGGAAAGUAUCUGAAAGUUUAUGUUACCUUUGAUAUUGUGUUACCUUUGAUAUUUCUUAUUCGUUAAAACGGGAUUUACGUGUGAAAUUCCAUUCAUUGGAUCUUAAAUGUGUGUUUGGUACUAUAUGAGAAGUAGUUAAAUUUUUAUUUUCACUGUAAUAGGAUAAGACAUAUAUUUCAUAAGUGUGAGGUGCAUGAGUUAGCAAGGGCAGAGGAUGGCUCCCACACCACUCUUCUGUUUGGGAAUUGGAUGAGAAUGAUUGUUGGUGCUUUCGUCAAACGGCUAAAAAAUCCACUAAUGGUCAAGGUUAAUACAAAGAGUGGCAGUGAGGAGUUGAAUGCAUCGUUGAUGACACCAAAUAAGCCGGAUACCGUUAUUAAUGGCGUGAAAAUUUUGGAUGAAUUUCAAAAUGUGAGUGAUUUAAAUUUUGAAAGCGCUAAUGUUGCAGACAAGGGAGCUUUUCCUUAGCUUAUGAUCUUUGGUUUCUAUAUGGCUUCUAGGCCGCUUGACCUCUUUACGGCUCCUAAGUGUUCGACUUCUUUAUGGUUUCUUGGUUGCUUGAGUUCUUUAUGCUCUGCUUCCUUGAUGCCUCUAUGUUUCUUUUUCCCUUUCUUUUACUUCUCGUCUCCGCCUCCAUUUCGUUCCUACAUAUUUUGACAGCACAGAAUUUGUUGUUGUUGCAGCGGCCAUGGAAAUCAUCAAGAACAAUUCAUGGUUGAUGCUUUUUGUUCUUUUCACGUGCUUCUCACUCAAAUCCCAUGUCUCCUUCGGAGCUGACACCAUUUCUGCAAACCAAUCUCUCUCUGGUGAUCAAACGAUCGUUUCUAAAGGUGGGGUCUUUGCAUUUGGUUUCUUCAACCCAGCUCCUGGUAAGUCUUCAAACUAUUACAUAGGCAUGUGGUACAAUAAAGUCUCUGAAAGAACUAUAGUUUGGGGAGCCAACAGAGAACAGCCAGUUUCUGAUAGAUUCUCUUCGGUUUUAAGAAUCUCAGAUGGUAACUUAAUUCUUUUUAAUGAGUCCCAACUACCCAUUUGGUCCACAAAUUUGACCGCUACCAGCAGACGUUCUGUGGUAGCAGUUCUUUUAGAUGAAGGAAAUCUUGUUUUGAGAGAUUUGUCAAAUAAUUUGUCGGAGCAGUUAUGGCGAAGUUUUGAUCAUCCAGCUCAUACUUGGAUUCCCGGUAUGAAGCUGACGUUCAACAAGAGAAACAACGUCAGUCAACUUCUCACUUCAUGGAAGAAUAAAGAAAAUCCUGCACCGGGUCUCUUCUCCCUUGAGCUAGCACCAGAUGGAUCAAAUCAAAAUGUUAUUUUGUGGAAUAGGUCUGAGCAGUACUGGAGAAGUGGACCUUGGGAUGAUAAUGCAAAAAUUUUCACCUUGGUCCCUGAAAUGACACUAAAUUAUAUCUACAAUUUCAGCUAUGUGUCGAAUGAAAACGAGAGCUAUUUCACCUACAAUGUGAAAGAUAGCACUUAUACAUCUCGAUUCAUUAUGGAUGUUUCAGGACAGGUUAAGCAGAUGAAUUGGUUGCCUACCAACUCUUGGUUUCUAUUUUGGUCCCAACCAAGACAGCAAUGAGAGGUUUAUGCUUUUUGUGGUCAAUUAAGCACCUGCAAUGAGCAAACUGAGCGUUUUUGUUCUUGUUUGAAAGGUUUUCAACAAAAAUCGGUGAGUGACUGGAAUUUGGAAGAUUAUUCUGGUGGUUGUGUGAGGAAAACCCCGCUGCAGUGUGAAAAUAAUAGUCCUGCCAAUGGAAAAAGCGACCAAUUUUUCCAGUACAGUAACAUGAAAUUGCCUAAACAUCCACAGUCUGUGGCAGUAGGGGGUAUCAGGGAAUGUGAAACACACUGCUUGAACAACUGCUCUUGCACUGCUUAUGCUUACAAAGACAACGCUUGCUCGAUUUGGGUAGGAAGUUCGUGGGUCUGCAACAGCUACA
Molecule: long non-coding RNA, 38426 nt
Filed under: Citrus maxima (pomelo)
Lineage: Eukaryota; Viridiplantae; Streptophyta; Magnoliopsida; Sapindales; Rutaceae
Description: long non-coding RNA (CMAX_LNC000669)
Source: RNAcentral